Molecule: ribosomal RNA, 771 nt
Filed under: Pseudocercospora punicae
Lineage: Eukaryota; Fungi; Ascomycota; Dothideomycetes; Mycosphaerellales; Mycosphaerellaceae
Description: eukaryotic LSU rRNA
Rfam family: Eukaryotic large subunit ribosomal RNA
Source: RNAcentral
AGCUCAAAUUUGAAAUCUGGCGUAAGCCCGAGUUGUAAUUUGUAGAGGAUGCUUCUGGGUAGCGGCCGGUCUAAGUUCCUUGGAACAGGACGUCAUAGAGGGUGAGAAUCCCGUAUGUGACUGACUUGCACCCUCCACGUAGCUCCUUCGACGAGUCGAGUUGUUUGGGAAUGCAGCUCUAAAUGGGAGGUAAAUUUCUUCUAAAGCUAAAUACCGGCCAGAGACCGAUAGCGCACAAGUAGAGUGAUCGAAAGAUGAAAAGCACUUUGGAAAGAGAGUUAAAAAGCACGUGAAAUUGUUGAAAGGGAAGCGCCCGCAACCAGACUUUGCGGCGGUGUUCGGCUGGUCUUCUGACCGGUUUACUCGCCGCCGUGAGGCCAUCAUCGUCUGGGACCGCUGGAUAAGACCUGAGGAAUGUAGCUCCCUUCGGGGUGUGUUAUAGCCUCUGGUGAUGCAGCGCGUCUCGGGCGAGGUCCGCGCUUCGGCAAGGAUGAUGGCGUAAUGGUUGUCGGCGGCCCGUCUUGAAACACGGACCAAGGAGUCUAACAUCUAUGCGAGUGUUCGGGUGUCAAACCCCUACGCGUAAUGAAAGUGAACGGAGGUGGGAACUUUUUGUGCACCAUCGACCGAUCCUGAUGUCCUCGGAUGGAUUUGAGUAAGAGCAUAGCUGUUGGGACCCGAAAGAUGGUGAACUAUGCCUGAAUAGGGUGAAGCCAGAGGAAACUCUGGUGGAGGCUCGCAGCGGUUCUGACGUGCAAAUCGAUCGUCAAA